GUAAGGACCGUUCUCCUAUGAUGUAGUCGACCCUAUCAGAAAACAUUUACUCACUUUUUGCUUUUAUACAAAAAAACAUGCCAUUUCUCCAUUUUGGUGAAAAGUGGGCCAUUAGCUAAACCACAACCUUCCUGUCCAAAGACCUUCAUGAACUACUGAAACUAUAUCUGACAGUUUGGGGAGGAAUUCAUUCUAACGGGUGAAAAUGAACCAGGUCUUUUCUGUGUAUGUGCCGGUCUUUAAGCAUAAAUGUAAAUAUAUAAAAUAUACUAAUAAUGCAUAUAGUCUCUGGUUAUCGGUGAUACUUCCCAUUCUGCACAAUUGUGACCUUUGACCCCUUGCACGUGGUCUUAAAUGUCCACAUUCUGGAUGACAUCCUGCCAGACUUUGUUGGUAUUUCACUGUUUGAUCUAGCAUGUGACUGUUUUUCCCCCCCAGCACUUGUCCCAUGUUGGCUGGCCUACUAUGCAGUUAAAUGGAAAGGUUUUUCCCCAGCACUUGUCCCAUGUUGGCUGGCCCACUAUGCAGUUAAAUGGAAAGGUUUCUCCCCAGCACUUGUCCCAUGUUGGCUGGCCUACUAUGCAGUUAAAUGGAAAGGUUUUUCCCCAGCACUUGUCCCAUGUUGGCUGGCCCACUAUGCAGUUAAAUGGAAAGGUUUUUCCCCAGCACUUGUCCCAUGUUGGCUGGCCUACUAUGCAG
Molecule: long non-coding RNA, 699 nt
Filed under: Salmo salar (Atlantic salmon)
Lineage: Eukaryota; Metazoa; Chordata; Actinopteri; Salmoniformes; Salmonidae
Description: lncRNA (ENSSSAG00000112251.1)
Source: RNAcentral